Molecule: non-coding RNA, 1295 nt
Organism: Schizosaccharomyces pombe (fission yeast)
Lineage: Eukaryota; Fungi; Ascomycota; Schizosaccharomycetes; Schizosaccharomycetales; Schizosaccharomycetaceae
Source: the annotation of a GenBank genome assembly
GUUGGGCAUUCAGGUUUAAUAGAAUGUGACCCACACGAUUAAAGUAAUUUUUAAGUAGUUCUCUAAGUUGAUCAUCAAGGUUCUCCUUUGCAAUCAUAGAACAACAAGAAAAGUAAAGAGUGUGAAUGUUUUCGGAAAAUAAUUCUAAAGGAAGAUUCAGUAUACUGUCCAGGAUUGUAGCAAUGACAGGCUGCCAUGCAGCAUGGUUACGCGUAUGUUUCUCAACAACCAAGGAAGCAUACAUAUCCAGCAUUUCGGCACAAACCGGAAAAAGAAGUUUAUGAAUUUUCUGAUCCGUUUCUGUUUUACCUAAAGGGUCUCUGGUUUUUAAUAAGCGGAAGAGCAAAGUGAUGUACAACAAUGCACUAGCCGUUUCUUGUCUCAAUAAAUUAGGGAGUUGCUUCAUAAAUCCAACGUUCAAAAGCGUAAUACGUAAAGAUUUGUCUUCAUUAAACUUGCGAGCAAACUGCCAUGAGUCGUAAAUAGCCACAGUUAUUUUCAAUACAUGUUCAUGGGGGAUAUGAUUAAAAACUUCCUCGUUAUCUAACAAUUCAGCAACAAUACUUAUUAAAAGUAGUUGAAGAAUACAUUUUCGAAUCAUUGAACGGAACUCCAUCUGUUUCUCAGGGGAAAUUGAGGAUGUCGAAAUUGAACGAGAAGUUUCCGGUAGAGAACCGCCUCGCUUAUGGCUCAAUUGAGUAUUUUCAUUUUCGGAGUAAACAGGGGCUCCUUGCCCAUUGGAAAAUGUUUCUAGAAGAAGAAGCUGAUGAGGGGUGGUUUCCUUGAAUAACUCAAUAAACAUAUCAGCGACCAGAUUCCAAUCUUUAACUUCAAACCUAUACGCAUUUCCAGAAAGUAGCUGCUGCAUACAAUUUGUUCCUAUGCGAGAAAGUGUAAUAUUAUCUCUACAAAUGCAAUUGCUAAAUAACCAUAGAUAACCUUUUAGCAAAUUGUGAAGUUUGUCAAAACGGCGUGUUAACAAAGUGACGAGACUUCGUAACGCUUCAACAAGAGUAGUAGAUUGCCAAGUCCUGAUCUCCUCAUCCCUUAACAUAACAGUCGCUUCAUCCGCUUCUGGUCCAAAUAUUGAGAAUAUCGGGAAUAUAAAUUUUCGUGAAACAACUUCCCAAGUUUCUUCAGUGAAAUCAUCAGACUCUUCUAAGAAUAUAUAAAAUAAGUUUUGAAGAGCUCUUGACCUUACUUCCAAGUCUUCAGCUGACAUUAUUAUAUCAUAAUAUGCAAAUAAAACUGGGAAAACAUAUUUAGAAAAUGUCUCAUUUACUGAAGGCUUGGAA